ACACACUCUUGAUGAGCUUCAGUCACCUGAAAUGUUUCACUUCACAGGUGUGCCCUGUCAACAGGUGUGCCCUGUCAACAGGUGUGCCCUGUCAGGAUUAAUAAGUGGGAUUUCCUGCCUUCUAAAUGGGGUUGGGACCAUCAGUUGUGUUGUGCAGAAGGUGGAUCCAGCACACAGCUGGUGGUCCUACUGAACACACUGUUAGAAUCUGUAUUACAGCAAGAAAACAGCAGCUAAGU
Austrofundulus limnaeus is the source of this 239-nucleotide long non-coding RNA. RefSeq lists it as uncharacterized. The transcript is spliced from 2 exons. Lineage: Eukaryota; Metazoa; Chordata; Actinopteri; Cyprinodontiformes; Rivulidae. The record is from RefSeq and is a predicted model, not a curated record.